Carica papaya (papaya) is the source of this 1058-nucleotide non-coding RNA. The record is from RefSeq and is a predicted model, not a curated record. NCBI's taxonomy places the organism in Eukaryota, Viridiplantae, Streptophyta, Magnoliopsida, Brassicales, Caricaceae.
AAAAAAAUAACUUGAUCGACGCCCAUGAUGCAACUGAUAUACAUUUGUGAUUUGGUUCAAUCUCCAUGGUCCACUGGGGUCCCCUUCUGAAGCUACCCAGAUAAAGAGAAGAAGAAAGAAGGGGCAUUCUCAGAAGAAAUUAGCAUUAUCAAGAUGGAAGAGUGGAGGAGGAGAUCUGCUGCAAAAACUGGGGAAAAUCCUCUGCAGUUGGAAUUUAAAGUACUUUAUCUGAAAAGAAUAUGAAGGGUUUCUGAGGAGUGAGGUGCAAGGGCCCAAAUAUGAAAAAUAGAAAGAGUUGUGGUUGAAUUCUUCUCUUUUUAUUUAUUUAAUUGUUAAAUAUUAUUAUCCUACAUUGUCUUAAAAAAAAUUUGGUUCUUGCUCUCUUUUUUGGUUUUUGAUUUUGUGCUUUUAUGGGUGGCAACAAGGAUGGUGUUUCAGUUUGAGAUUGCUGAGUCACAGGUUUUCUUGUCUCUCAUUGUUAUCUGGAAGUUUAUAGAGUGGGAUUAUUAAGCAUUGGUUGGAUGAAUGUUGCUUAUAUAGUCAAUAUAUAGAUCAGUAUCAACAGUGUUCUUAGAUUUUGUAGGCUGAAUUAUGUGCUGUUUCCAUGGUGAACUACUGUAAUAUCUUUCUCUUGUGGUGUUCAUUUGGCUUCUCUUGUGGAUCGCCUUAUGAUGGUCGUGCAGGCCCUGCCAUAAAUGGGUAUAUGUUUUGGAUUGAAAGGUUUUGUUGGUGAGCUGGUUUCCUCAGUCUAAGUUUGGCCAAUUAUUUUGCGAUGUUCAAUGACAAAACUUAUAUGGUAAUUCCACAAGAAAUAUUGUCUGAUUCUUGUGGAAUGUGUUGUUAAACUGCAUCAAUGACAGUACAGUAUCAGUAAUGAUAAUUCACCCAGUAGUACAUGGCUUUGAAUUCUGGUUGUGGAACCUAUAUUUGCUGUAACCGUAGGAAAUAUAACAUUUUGAAGGAUAUGUUCGCUCAAGGACGAUAUUUUGAGGAAUGAUCUCAUUGUCAGAUUGUCCGUUUUGUAAUUGAGAAGAUAUUGAAAUAAGAUAGCUGGAAAA